Chlorocebus sabaeus (green monkey) is the source of this 1153-nucleotide long non-coding RNA. RefSeq lists it as uncharacterized. The record is from RefSeq and is a predicted model, not a curated record. NCBI's taxonomy places the organism in Eukaryota, Metazoa, Chordata, Mammalia, Primates, Cercopithecidae.
CUCAGCCUCCAAAGUAACUGGGACUACAGGUCCACACCACUAUGCCUGGUCCAGAGGAUCUACUACCACAGAACCAUUCGAGAUGUGAGUUCCCAGUGUGAAAGGACUGGGAGUUAACAGAAGAGCCACAGUGAGGUCUCUGAUGGCAAACACUGCAUCUGUUUAGAGAUAGUCAUAUCUCCAGCACCUGGCCCAGAAGGCCUUCAACAUGUGUUGCAGAAACAAAGAGGGGAUGAGGCACGGAGCUCCUGAAGUUGGAGGAAGCAGAGGCCACGUGGGGAGGAAAAUGACAGCAAAUACGAAGCACUCACUCCAGAGAUAUAGGGGACAACAAAAGAAUCCCUCUGGGUCCAAAACAGAAAAUGAAAGUGAGGAAGACGGCUGCGAAUAACAUGACAGAAUAAACUUCCCCUCAUUCUCGAUAUUUGUAAGACAAUAGGGAAUAGUGGGGAUAUUUAAUGACCUGAAGAAAGGAUGACCCGACCCCCCUAAAGACAGUGGAUGGAACUUAGCUCCGAGUAAUAUUUGGGAGGAAGAAAGAAGAGGCCAAUAGGACUAGACCUUGAUUUCUUCAAGAAAAGCUAGAAAUCUAAAUGUUUUUGUGAAUUCUGCUUAUUUUUAAUGCUGGAAACUAAAUCAAAGUGUUUAAAACAUUGUAGUGGCCAAUAUUGAAUGAGCUAAACAUACAUAUCUGGGCUGCCACUUUGUGACCCAUAUGCUGUUGUGAAAACCUCUAUUGUCUUUGCAGAUUUUCCUAGUGGCAAAAUCUCCUACAAGUAUAAAGUCACAGUAACAUAUAACUACUUCUCAGCACCCACUCCCACCAUUUGGAAAUCUAGAUGGUUUAACAUUCAACUUUUCCAAGAACACAAGAAUAUCAAGACUAUUGUUCUGAAUUCCCUUGCAAAUCCAUGUUGGUUCGAUAAUCUCCCUUUUAAUAUGCCCAACUUAUUUCAUUCAUUAAUUUACUUAAACAAUUGAGUGCCUACCCUGUACCAGAAACUGGCAUAAAAUUGUAAGUAAUGUGGACAUGUUCUUGGCUUCCUUGGGCUUCUGUGUCAUGAGGGAUCUAGAGAGGUAGUUACAGAGUCUCGCUGUGUCCCCACCCAAAUCUCAUCUUGAAUUGUAGUUCUCAUAAUCCCCGCUUGUGGGA